GCGAUCGAGAAAAGCAGAGAAAAGUGUUGACAGUUUUCCGAAAAAUAUUUUUUUUUAAAUGGAUGAAAAUUCGGAAUUAGUCGAUGAUCCGGAACCGACGAGUUCUAGUGAGCCCGAUGAUCUCGGGGCUAUCGAACAGAGAAUGAUUGCACUUGCAAAAACAAAACCAAAGGGUAUAUCUGAUAAGGAUAUAUCAAUGGAAAUGCCUGAUUUGGAACCUCUGCAGAAGGCCCAAAUAGUGAACAAGCUUUUGUCCCGAGGAUACAUCGAUUUGUUCAAGCAAGGAGGAUCGUUGCUUUAUCGAUUGAAAGAUCCUAACAAAGGAAAAGCUGUAAAAGGAGCAGACAACGAGGAAAAAAUAGUUUAUUCGAUAAUAGAGGAUGCCGGCAGCAAGGGAAUAUGGAUACGAGAUAUUCGCUUCAAGUCCAAUCUCAUGCUGACCCAGUUGAAUAAAAUAUUAAAAAAUUUAGAGACAAAAAAACUUAUCAAAGCUGUGAAAUCUGUAGCAGCAAGCAAAAAGAAAGUUUACAUGCUUUACAACCUUGAGCCAGACAGAACUAUCACUGGUGGUGCUUGGUAUCAGGAUCAGGACUUUGAAGCUGAAUUUGUUGAUGUUCUCAAUCAACAAUGCUUCAGAUUUCUUGAUCAAAAACGAGAAGAUAAUAAAGACUGUAGACUUGGCCCGAUCGAUGCAAGAAAUUCCACUUUUGCAUCUUCUAAAGAAGUUUGGAAAUUUAUUUCUGACCUUGGCAUUAGUAAGGUGAAAUUAUCAGUGGAAGACCUUGAAAUGAUUUUGAAUACCCUUGUUUAUGAUGGUAAAGUUGAAAGAAUACUUUCGUCAGAUGGAAAUAAUUUAUACAGAGCUAUACAACCAAUGUUGAGUCCACCAGGGCUCAUAAAAACUCCCUGUGGAGUUUGCCCGGUAAAAAUCGUUUUUUUAAAUCUGUUUCGAAGAGGCAUAUCAGCCUCUCCUAUUACAUACGAGUCGGAGAAAGUAUCUCACCUCAAGGUGAUCUACCAGUAAAACUGAAAAAAACCGACGUGUAUCUACUUUUCGGUUAUCAACUCUUCAGUCAUGCAUCUGAUCGGUGAGGAAAAACUGCUGCGACGUUGGAGACGUUUCGCCAAUUAAAUGCCAAUACAUCACGGAAUGGUUGGAUUUGUAACUUUUUUAAAUUAGCUUAAGAACCAAUUUUUCGAAGACUUCGUAAUAAACAUUGGGCUGAAAAAUCAA
RNAcentral lists this unclassified non-coding RNA (1234 nucleotides) under Venturia canescens. RNAcentral's name for it is "probable DNA-directed RNA polymerase III subunit RPC6, transcript variant X1". The record is from RNAcentral. Lineage: Eukaryota; Metazoa; Arthropoda; Insecta; Hymenoptera; Ichneumonidae.